Molecule: long non-coding RNA, 206 nt
Filed under: Monodelphis domestica (gray short-tailed opossum)
Lineage: Eukaryota; Metazoa; Chordata; Mammalia; Didelphimorphia; Didelphidae
Description: lncRNA (ENSMODG00000050534.1)
Source: RNAcentral
UGGGUCCUCAGCCUGCUUCCCUGAACAACCUGUGAGUGGAGGCUGGUGGAAAAUCUGCUGACUGGACCCAAGAUGUGCUUAAGAGACUUCAGAUGGUACAAAGGAAGACUUAUUGUCUCAGUCCAAAAACUACAGGUCUAGAUGAGAAUCUCCUUCUGUAGACGGAUAUUGAAGGAAAGCCCAAGUGAGUUCAUGUACUGUUCUAA